CGACAAGUAAAUCUAAAACCUAAACCUAAACUUCCUCCCUCAGCCGCCACUCUCCCUUCCCAUUUUCUUACGUUUUUCUUCCAUAGUCGGCGUUAACUUAAGGCCGCGAGAAAGACAAAGAGGAACAAGAUGGUAUCCCUACUGCUUCUCUAUUGGACAGAAAUUUAACUUGUCGGUUUGUCUCUUCCCAGUCUAGUGAGGGUGCUUCAUAUAUUCUUGGAUGCAUGAAGAUUAAGGGGUGCGAUGAAGGUGGCAACAUGAAUCAUCAAGCAAAUAUUUCUGUUCAUUGCAAUAUUUUGUACAUUAUUUCUGAUCUCUAUUAUAAUCAAGCCUCAUAUUGGCUAGUUUUUCCUUCAAUUUUUUAUUACUGUACAAGACUUGUAUUAUAGAUGCUGUUAAUUAAUUAGUACAAAUGUAUAUUUUGAAAUUUA
This is a long non-coding RNA of Nicotiana attenuata, 431 nucleotides long. RefSeq lists it as uncharacterized. The record is from RefSeq and is a predicted model, not a curated record. NCBI's taxonomy places the organism in Eukaryota, Viridiplantae, Streptophyta, Magnoliopsida, Solanales, Solanaceae. The transcript is spliced from 2 exons.